Heterocephalus glaber (naked mole-rat) is the source of this 115-nucleotide small nuclear RNA. Its record names the gene U2. It matches the Rfam family "U2 spliceosomal RNA". From Rfam's summary of the family: U2 is a small nuclear RNA (snRNA) component of the spliceosome (involved in pre-mRNA splicing). Complementary binding between U2 snRNA (in an area lying towards the 5' end but 3' to hairpin I) and the branchpoint sequence (BPS) of the intron results the bulging out of an unpaired adenosine, on the BPS, which initiates a nucleophilic attack at the intronic 5' splice site, thus starting the first of two transesterification reactions that mediate splicing. NCBI's taxonomy places the organism in Eukaryota, Metazoa, Chordata, Mammalia, Rodentia, Bathyergidae. The record is from Ensembl.
AUCGCUUCUUGGCCUUUUGGCUAAGAUCAAGUGUAGUAUUUUAAUAAUGCUUAAAAACUAGCCUAGCUGAACAAUAUAUAUUUCAGAAAAUGUACACAUGCCAUUUACAAUAUUU